ACUCCUGCGGGAGGCAGCAGUGGGGAAUAUUGGACAAUGGGCGCAAGCCUGAUCCAGCCAUGCCGCGUGAGUGAUGAAGGCCCUAGGGUUGUAAAGCUCUUUCACCGGUGAAGAUAAUGACGGUAACCGGAGAAGAAGCCCCGGCUAACUUCGUGCCAGCAGCCGCGGUAAUACGAAGGGGGUUAGCGUUGUUCGGAUUUACUGGGCGUAAAGCGCACGUAGGCGGACUAUUAAGUCAGGGGUGAAAUCCCGGGGCUCAACCCCGGAACUGCCUUUGAUACUGGUAGUCUUGAGUUCGAGAGAGGUGAGUGGAAUUCCGAGUGUAGAGGUGAAAUUCGUAGAUAUUCGGAGGAACACCAGUGGCGAAGGCGGCUCACUGGCUCGAUACUGACGCUGAGGUGCGAAAGCGUGGGGAGCAAACAGGAUUAGAUACCCCUGUAGUCCCA
This 446-nucleotide ribosomal RNA is filed under the name uncultured organism. Its description in RNAcentral is "partial 16S ribosomal RNA". It matches the Rfam family "Bacterial small subunit ribosomal RNA", at positions 335 to 797 of the family's 1533-position model. The record is from RNAcentral.